GACGAACGCUGGCGGCGUGCUUAACACAUGCAAGUCGAACGGAAAGGCCCUGCUUGCAGGGUACUCGCGUGGCGAACGGGUGAGUAACACGUGGGUGAACUGCCCUGCACUUCGGGGUAAGACUGGGGAAAUGGGUGUAAUACAGGAUAGAGGCCAUUUUGAGUGAUGGGGGUGGAAAGUUUGUUGGGUGUAGGAUGAGCUCACGGGCUAUCAGCUUGUUGGUGGGGUAGUGACCUACCAAGGCGGGGACGGGUAGCCGGCCUGUGAGGGUGGACGGCCACAUUGGGACUGUGAUACGGCCCAGACUCCUACGGGGGGCAGCAGUGGGGAAUAUUGCACAAUGGGCGCGAGCCUGAUGCAGCGACGCCGCGUGGGGGAUGACGGCCUUCGGGUUGUAAACUCCUUUCGCUAGGGACGAAGCUUUUUGUGACGGUACCUAGAUAAGAAGCACCGGCUAACUACGUG
This 465-nucleotide ribosomal RNA is filed under the name uncultured bacterium. RNAcentral describes it as "partial 16S ribosomal RNA". It matches the Rfam family "Bacterial small subunit ribosomal RNA", at positions 28 to 507 of the family's 1533-position model. The record is from RNAcentral.